AAAGACAAAGCCAGUGGAAUGGUCCGAGUGUGGCAUCCGCUGCAUUUAUAAAGAAUAAGAGCUGCAGUGGGUGUGAUUCUUGGACAGAGUGGCGCUCAUCCUUGUUCCUGCAAUGAAGGACAUGCCAGCCUCCAGGCUCUUUGACAGAUGAUUGGAACUGUGCAAAUAUUAUGGAAGAUAUCCCGUGUCAAGAAGCUGACAGCACACACGUUUGGGAAGGAUUUAGCGGCUGAAGCACUUCUAGAAGAAUGCCAGAGCAAGAGUGUGAAACAGAGCACAGAGCCGUGAUGCUGCCCCCUGCCGGUGGUGCAGGAGAAAGGACUCAACCUCAGUCUACGACUCCUGCCAAGAGUUAUCAGCCACACUAGAAACUAAAGGGUGAAAACAGGGUUUCUCUGCUGCAAUUCCAUCUCUUCCUCUAGAAACUUGUCGUAGGAAUGACUCCCUGUAACUUCCCACACCUGCCUCUUCUUUCCUUAAGUGGUGGCUAACAGAAUCCUUUCCUUCCUCGGUCCUUGCUAAGUGACUGAAUUCAGAAACUCCUGGACAAUAUUACAACCAUCUGU
Molecule: non-coding RNA, 566 nt
Filed under: Pongo abelii (Sumatran orangutan)
Lineage: Eukaryota; Metazoa; Chordata; Mammalia; Primates; Hominidae
Source: RNAcentral